GUGGGGAAUCUUCCGCAAUGGACGAAAGUCUGACGGAGCAACGCCGCGUGAGUGAAGAAGGUUUUCGGAUCGUAAAGCUCUUUCGUUAGGGACGAACGUGCUCUUUGUGAAUAAUGAGGAGUAAUGACGGUACCUAAAUAAGAAGCCACGGCUAACUACGUGCCAGCAGCCGCGGUAAUACGUAGGUGGCAAGCGUUGUCCGGAAUUAUUGGGCGUAAAGCGCGCGCAGGCGGGAUAUCAAGUCUGUCUUAAAAGUGCGAGGCUCAACCUCGUGAGGGGACAGAAACUGGUAUUCUUGAGUGUCGGAGAGGAAAGUGGAAUUCCAAGUGUAGCUGUGAAAUGCGUAGAGAUUUGGAAGAACACCAGUGGCGAAGGCGACUUUCUGGACGAUGUCUGACGCUGAGGCGCGAAAGCUAGGGGAGCGAACGGGAUUAGAUACCCGGGUAGUCC
Molecule: ribosomal RNA, 450 nt
Filed under: uncultured bacterium
Lineage: Bacteria
Description: partial 16S ribosomal RNA
Rfam family: Bacterial small subunit ribosomal RNA
Source: RNAcentral